AACCCACGGUAAGGGCACCUUCUCAAUAAAUCCUUAUACCUCUCCCAUGCAUCGUAAAGGGUAAAGGGAUUCUAAAUCCAUUUGCACGAAGGAAGAGAUAUCAUUCCUCAGCUU
RNAcentral lists this small nucleolar RNA (114 nucleotides) under Gossypium hirsutum (cotton). Its description in RNAcentral is "Plant small nucleolar RNA R71". It matches the Rfam family "Plant small nucleolar RNA R71". Rfam says of the family: R71 is a member of the C/D box family of snoRNAs containing the C (UGAUGA) and D (CUGA) box motifs. Multiple nearly identical copies of this snoRNA have been identified in Arabidopsis, and it is thought to function as a 2'-O-ribose methylation guide for 18S ribosomal RNA. Lineage: Eukaryota; Viridiplantae; Streptophyta; Magnoliopsida; Malvales; Malvaceae. The record is from Rfam by way of RNAcentral.